RNAcentral lists this ribosomal RNA (500 nucleotides) under uncultured bacterium. RNAcentral's name for it is "partial 16S ribosomal RNA". It matches the Rfam family "Bacterial small subunit ribosomal RNA", at positions 30 to 523 of the family's 1533-position model. The record is from RNAcentral.
AUUGAACGCUGGCGGCAUGCCUUACACAUGCAAGUCGAACGGCAGCACGGGAGCAAUCCUGGUGGCGAGUGGCGAACGGGUGAGUAAAGUAUCGGAACGUGCCCAGUCGUGGGGGAUAACGUAGCGAAAGUUACGCUAAUACCGCAUACGAUCUAUGGAUGAAAGCGGGGGAUCGCAAGACCUCGCGCGAUUGGAGCGGCCGAUAUCAGAUUAGGUAGUUGGUGGGGUAAAGGCUCACCAAGCCGACGAUCUGUAGCUGGUCUGAGAGGACGACCAGCCACACUGGGACUGAGACACGGCCCCGACUCCUACGGGAGGCGGCAGUGGGGAAUUUUGGACAAUGGGCGAAAGCCUGAUCCAGCCAUGCCGCGUGCAGGAUGAAGGCCUUCGGGUUGUAAACUGCUUUUGUACGGAACGAAAAGGUUUGGCCUAAUAAGCUGAGCUCAUGACGGUACCGUAAGAAUAAGCACCGGCUAACUACGUGCCAGCCGCCGCGGUAA